This 228-nucleotide ribosomal RNA is filed under the name uncultured bacterium. RNAcentral's name for it is "partial 16S ribosomal RNA". It matches the Rfam family "Bacterial small subunit ribosomal RNA", at positions 524 to 748 of the family's 1533-position model. The record is from RNAcentral.
UACGUAGGGCGCAAGCGUUGUCCGGAAUUAUUGGGCGUAAAGAGCUCGUAGGCGGUUUGUCGCGUCUGCUGUGAAAUCCCCAGGCUCAACUUGGGGCGUGCAGUGGGUACGGGCAGACUAGAGUGCGGUAGGGGGAGACAUGGAAUUCCUGGUGUAGCGGUGGAAUGCGCAGAUAUCAGGAGGAACACCGAUGGCGAAGGCAGGUCUCUGGGCCGUUACUGGACGCUG